UACGGGGGGAGCAAGCGUUGUUCGGAUUUACUGGGCGUAAAGGGCGCGUAGGCGGCGCAACAAGUCACUUGUGAAAUCUCCGGGCUUAACCCGGAGCGGCCAAGUGAUACUGUCGUGCUAGAGUGCGGAAGGGGCUACUGGAAUUCUCGGUGUAGCGGUGAAAUGCGUAGAUAUCGAGAGGAACACCUGCGGCGAAGGCGGGUAGCUGGGCCGACACUGGCGCUGAGGCGCGAAAGACAGGGGAGCGAACGGG
RNAcentral lists this ribosomal RNA (253 nucleotides) under uncultured bacterium. RNAcentral's name for it is "partial 16S ribosomal RNA". It matches the Rfam family "Bacterial small subunit ribosomal RNA", at positions 524 to 776 of the family's 1533-position model. The record is from RNAcentral.